CGRGRKUCCURGNUAYANUGCAAGUCGAGCGGAUUUAYCCUUCGGGGUAAGUUAGCGGCGGACGGGUGAGUAWCABGUAGGCAACCUGCCUGUAAGAUCGGGAUAACUACCGGAAACGGUAGCUAAGACCGGAUAGGUGGUUUNUUCGCAUGAAGAGAUCAAGAAACACGGGGCAACCUGUGGCUUACAGAUKGGCCUGCGGCGCAUUAGCUGGUUGGYGGGGUAACGGCCCACCAAGGCGACGAUGCGUAGCCGACCUGAGAGGGUGAUCGGCCACACUGGGACUGAGACACGGCCCAGACUCCUACGGGAGGCAGCAGUAGGGAAUCUUCCGCAAUGGACGCAAGUCUGACGGAGCAACGCCGCGUGAGUGAUGAAGGUUUUCGGAUCGUAAAGCUCUGUUGCCAAGGAAGAACGCCUCGGAGAGUAACUGCUCCGGGGGUGACGGUACUUGAGAAGAAAGCCCCGGCUAACUACGUGCCAGCAGCCGCGGUAAUACGUAGGGGGCAAGCGUUGUCCGGAAUUAUUGGGCGUAAAGCGCGCGCAGGCGGCCGCUUAAGUUUGGUGUUUAAGCCCGGGGCUCAACCCCGGUUCGCACCGAAAACUGGGCGGCUUGAGUGCAGGAGAGGAAAGCGGAAUUCCACGUGUAGCGGUGAAAUGCGUAGAGAUGUGGAGGAACACCAGUGGCGAAGGCGGCUUUCUGGACUGUAACUGACGCUNGARGCGCG
Molecule: ribosomal RNA, 728 nt
Filed under: Thermobacillus sp. UAPS0166
Lineage: Bacteria; Bacillati; Bacillota; Bacilli; Caryophanales; Paenibacillaceae
Description: partial 16S ribosomal RNA
Rfam family: Bacterial small subunit ribosomal RNA
Source: RNAcentral